CCUACGGGGGGCUGCAGUAAGGAAUAUUGGUCAAUGGACGAAAGUCUGAACCAGCCAUGCCGCGUGCAGGAUUAAGGCCCUAUGGGUCGUAAACUGCUUUUAUACGGGACAAAACCCCUCUACGUGUAGAGGGUUGAUGGUACUGUAAGAAUAAGGAUCGGCUAACUUCGUGCCAGCAGCCGCGGUAAUACGAAGGAUUCGAGCGUUAUCCGGAUUUAUUGGGUUUAAAGGGUGCGUAGGCGGACCGAUAAGUCAGUGGUGAAAGCCUGUUGCUUAACAACAGAACUGCCAUUGAUACUGCCGGUCUUGAGUACAGUUGAGGUAGGCGGAAUGUGUCAUGUAGUGGUGAAAUACUUAGAUAUGACACAGAACACCGAUUGCGAAGGCAGCUUGCUAAACUGUAACUGACGCUGAGGCACGAAAGCGUGGGGAGCAAACAGGAUUAGAUACCCCUGUAGUC
This 460-nucleotide ribosomal RNA is filed under the name uncultured Bacteroidota bacterium. Its description in RNAcentral is "bacterial SSU rRNA". It matches the Rfam family "Bacterial small subunit ribosomal RNA", at positions 338 to 795 of the family's 1533-position model. The record is from RNAcentral. Lineage: Bacteria; Pseudomonadati; Bacteroidota.